GACGAACGCUGGCGGCGUGCUUAACACAUGCAAGUCGAACGAAAAGAGGGAAAGAGCUUGCUCUUUCCGGAAUUGAGUGGCAAACGGGUGAGUAACACGUAAACAACCUGCCUUCAGGAUGGGGACAACAGACGGAAACGACUGCUAAUACCGAAUAAGUUCCAAGAGCCGCAUGGCCCAUGGAAGAAAAGGUGGCCUCUACCUGUAAGCUAUCGCCUGAAGAGGGGUUUGCGUCUGAUUAGCUGGUUGGUGGGGUAACGGCCCACCAAGGCGACGAUCAGUAGCCGGGCUGAGAGGAUGAACGGCCACACUGGAGCUGAGACACGGGCCAGACUCCUACGGGAGGCAGCAGUGGGGAAUCUUCCGCGAGGGGCGAAAGCCUGACGGAGCAACGCCGCGUGAGUGAUGACGGCCUUCGGGUUGUAAAACUCUGUGAUCCGGGACGAAAAGGCAGAGUGCGAAGAACAAACUGCAUUGACGGUACCGGAAAAGCAAGCCACGGCUAACUACGUG
RNAcentral lists this ribosomal RNA (513 nucleotides) under uncultured bacterium. RNAcentral's name for it is "partial 16S ribosomal RNA". It matches the Rfam family "Bacterial small subunit ribosomal RNA", at positions 28 to 507 of the family's 1533-position model. The record is from RNAcentral.